UAGCAUAUCAAUAAGCGGAGGAAAAGAAAAUAACAAUGAUUUCCCUAGUAACGGCGAGUGAAGAGGAAAGAGCUCAAAGUUGGAACCUGUUUGGCCUAGCUAAACCGGAUUGUAGACUGUAGAAGUGUUUUCCAGGCAAGCCGAGUAAAUAAGUCCUUUGGAACAGGGCAUCAUAGAGGGUGAGAAUCCCGUCUUUGGCUUGAGCAUUUGCCUUUUGUGAUACGCUUUCAAAGAGUCAGGUUGUUUGGGAAUGCAGCCUAAAUUGGGUGGUAAAUCUCACCUAAAGCUAAAUAUUGGCGAGAAACCGAUAGCGAACAAGUACCGUGAGGGAAAGAUGAAAAGAACUUUGAAAAGAGAGUUAAACAGUAUGUGAAAUUGUUAAAAGGGAACCGUUUGGAGCCAGACUGGCUUGUCUGUAAUCAAUCUAGGCUUCGGCCUGGAUGCACUUGCAGGCUAUGCCUGCCAACGACAAUUUGACUUGAGGGAAAAAACUAAGGGAAAUGUGGCCCACUUGUGGGUGUUAUAGUCCCUUAGAAAAUACCUUGGGUUGGAUUGAGGAACGCAGCGAAUGCUUUUUGGCGAGUUUUCCAGGAAGGUUUUCUGAGGUACUACGGUAUCAAGGUUGAUCUUUUUGGUUAUACUUCUAUUCGCUUAGGUUGUUGGCUUAAUGACUCUAAAUGACCCGUCUUGAAACACGGACCAAGGAGUCCACCAUUAGUGCGAGUAUUUGGGUGCCAAACCCAUAUGCGUAAGGAAACUGAUUGAUACGAAUCCAUUAAGGAGGCAGUAUCGUCCGGCGCUGACGUUUUAUACUGAAUUGACCGAGACAAAGCACUAAUGAUGGGACCCGAAAGAUGGUGAACUAUGCCUGAAUAGGGUGAAGCCAGAGGAAACUCUGGUGGAGGCUCGUAGCGAUUCUGACGGCAAAUCGAUCGAC
This 937-nucleotide ribosomal RNA is filed under the name Rhizopus delemar. RNAcentral describes it as "LSU rRNA". It matches the Rfam family "Eukaryotic large subunit ribosomal RNA", at positions 36 to 906 of the family's 3401-position model. Lineage: Eukaryota; Fungi; Mucoromycota; Mucoromycetes; Mucorales; Rhizopodaceae. The record is from RNAcentral.